CCUCCGCCAUCUUGUUUUACGUGAAGCACGGCAUCUACCGGAUAAGGAUUCUGUUUUAAAGGAGUCAAUCGGUGGACAUUAGACAAUGUUUCUUCAACGAGCUUGUAAUACAAUGAGGAUUGGCUUACUAAGAAGAGCCAUGAGUACUGGGAGAAGGCCAGAAACUCCCGAAAGACUGACUCCUGUUCAACAUGUUGCAGCCUUUUCUGCCUUUUUAUUUGGAAUCCUGGGCCCUGGAAUUUAUCUGAUGCUUACACGUGACAAACCACUCAGUGAACAUUGAUGAGGGAUUGGUGCCAUGAUACCAUUUAUUUCAAAGACCAGCUACUUUUGUUUACAUUUAUGUUGACUACUAAAUUGUGCAAGUGUGACUAACUAGAAAGAAUUUGUAAAGAACUUUUGAUGAACUGUUAUGGUGUAUGGCUUUUUUAGGAAAUUUUGCACUGAGUUUUAUUGUUACCUUGGUAUAUAAUGAAACUCACAAUAAAUUGUUGAGGAUGAUUUUACUGUUUUUCUGGAAUUUAUCUGAGUAAUCAUAGAGUGCAGUAAACUGUUUAAGAUCUUGUUAAGGUG
This is a long non-coding RNA of Pocillopora damicornis (cauliflower coral), 573 nucleotides long. RefSeq lists it as uncharacterized. Lineage: Eukaryota; Metazoa; Cnidaria; Anthozoa; Scleractinia; Pocilloporidae. The record is from RefSeq and is a predicted model, not a curated record.